UCAAUACAGGAAAGCACUGGACACCUGUGGUAAUGUUUGUAUGUGUGUGUGUGUGAGUGUGCUGCGUGGCGUGCGUGGGUAUGUAUGCCAUAAAGCUUUCGACCAGAUCAAGCAAAUAACUUUCAGUUUUUGAUAAGUUAAUCCUACAGUUUGUUUUCAUAUUUGAUGUUUAGUUAAAGAACAUAUCACUAACCAUUUCUUGUCGCUUAUCGUUUAGAUUGUCGACAUGCAAGGCAAGACAAUAUGUCAUUUUGACUCACUAUCUGGGGAGGAGGACAAAGAGAUCAUCAGUCCUUUAAUGGCACUUAUUUAUUAUGACGCUGUCAUAAAUGGAUCUUCGUUUGUGAUGUCUGAGUAGACUCUACUUAAAACCAAUAAGAAUAUACCACUUCAAACAAAUUCGGACGACUGCGGUGUUUUUGUUUGCCAAAUUGCUAGAUGUCUAGGGCUAUACAGCGCCAUCGAUUUUGAGCAGAGAGAUGUGCCUAUCUUGAGGCAACGGAUGGUUUUGGAGGUCGAGGCAGGGCGUCUGUUUGACCGAGACUACUGUUUCAUGUCCUAGGACAAGACAGGCAACCUGUACGCUUGGCUGUCUGUUAGACUUGUGGAAGAAAACCUUUUACGACUCCAAUCAUCCAACUCCUGCAGAUGUUUAUAUCAUAACAUAUCGUGCAAAAUCGUUCUUCAGGAAAUCCAAUAUCUUUUUCAGAACAAUAAAUGGGACAAACAUAAUCAAAGUGAUACCGCUUUUUUCAUAGUGUAUCACGCACAAACGAAACAAUCCUGUGUAGAGUCAAUUAUAAAUGUAAAUGAAAUUAUUUCAAAUAAAUUUAUUCAUUGUGAAAUAUUUCAACAAAAUUUGUAAUAUAUUCAAAUUUCAACCACAAACCAUUUGCAUAAUACCUUUGGUAUAAGGAAAUGAGCAAGUACAAGCUCCUUAUAGACAAUUGUUAUUGAUGUACACACGAGAUCGGAAUAGUUAUGGAGGCUGGUGUCACUUGCAUAUUUCAAUAAAUUCAUGCAUUUAACAAAC
Molecule: RNA transcript, 1033 nt
Organism: Nematostella vectensis (starlet sea anemone)
Lineage: Eukaryota; Metazoa; Cnidaria; Anthozoa; Actiniaria; Edwardsiidae
Exons: 5
Source: RefSeq, a predicted model, not a curated record